This 1130-nucleotide unclassified non-coding RNA is filed under the name Hevea brasiliensis (rubber tree). The record is from RNAcentral. Lineage: Eukaryota; Viridiplantae; Streptophyta; Magnoliopsida; Malpighiales; Euphorbiaceae.
GUCCUCACCCAAUCUGGAUGACCAGUCAUAUAUUCUUGAUAAUCACAAUGCAAUUUUAGGGGCUAUACAAAAAGAAUUUUAAAAAUCACAAACUUUGAUAGAACAAGGAAGAUUAUGAAGACAACAACAUGUUAAGUAGAAACUUGUACAUGUUACACUGAUUUAACCAAUUCAAAAGUUUCCUUUUGCGCUGAGACUACAGCAGCAUACUUGCAACAAAUGUAGCAUAAAGGUUUUCAAUUUCCAAAAUUGCAUUCAAUCCAAAUAUAUAAGUAGAAAUACUUCGAAUUGGUCCCCUGGAGCAAUUCUAUGUCAAAAUCAUUCGAUCAAAAAAAUAAAUUCGCUUAAAAGAUUCAUCAGAACACUCACUCCCUCAAUUCCCCAAUUCUGAAUGGCAGAAGCAAAUUCAGAAAUCCCUAAAUUAAUUCCAAAAGAAGGGGAUUGUAUCUGUGAUUGAUAAUGAAAUCUAAUUUGACAAAAACAUGUACAUACAGAGAACGAGAGAGAGGAAGGAAGAGAGGCCAACCUGUGGGAGAGAGAGAAGACAACGUGAUCGGUGGAAGGACCGGGAUUAAAGUCGACGAGGAGGAAAAGAGAUUAGACAUGAUAAAUCAAAAACACGUCUUCUCUCGCCCUGUGUUUUAGGAAUCAAGAAUCAAAAGAGAUUUAAACAAAAUGCUGUUUUGAAACAACAAAUCUACAAGCAAGAUUUAAAAGUUUAGUUCAAAAACAAAAGCUUAAAAAGAGAAGAAAAAUAACGAGGCAAAUCACAUCUCACACACAACAGUCCAAAGACAAUGUGUGCAAUGAGUGUAAUUUUGUGAGUGAUGGCAGAGCUGAGAAGGAAUGAGCGGAAAUGGGGCAGAACUAGCAGCAGAAGCGUUGAGCUGCUCUUCGAAGAAAUCUAUGUGGGGUUGCAGGGACCAGUGGAGAUGGUUACUUGGUUCUGUUCGUGGGUCUUGUGAAGAUUUUGGAGAAAAAGGCUUUUUGUGUAGACGUAUUGAGUUGGGUUUUAAAGGAGAAAAGGGGAACACUAAAAUGAAGAAAUGGGUGAAGAGUGAGGAGCUGAAGCUGGGGUGUUGUCUGUGCAGGUUAUGCUUUGCGGCGAGGAAAGGUGAAGACGAAAAAUG